AGGACGAACGCUGGCGGCGUGCUUAACACAUGCAAGUCGAGCGGUGAUCCUCCUUCGGGAGGUGAGCAGCGGCGAACGGGUGAGUAACACGUGGGCAACCUGCCCCUCACACUGGGAUAACCUCGGGAAACCGGGCUAAUACCGGAUAUGACCUCGAGCGGCAUCUCUUGAGGUGGAAAGCUCCGACGGUGAGGGAUGGGCCCGCGGCCUAUCAGCUUGUUGGUGGGGUAAUGGCCUACCAAGGCGACGACGGGUAGCCGGCCUGAGAGGGCGACCGGCCACACUGGGACUGAGACACGGCCCAGACUCCUACGGGAGGCAGCAGUGGGGAAUAUUGCGCAAUGGGCGAAAGCCUGACGCAGCGACGCCGCGUGAGGGAUGAAGGCCUUCGGGUUGUAACCUCUUUCAGCAGGGACGAAGCGAAAGUGACGGUACCUGCAGAAGAAGCACCGGCUAACUACGCGCCAGCAGCCGCGGUAA
RNAcentral lists this ribosomal RNA (480 nucleotides) under uncultured bacterium. RNAcentral's name for it is "SSU rRNA". It matches the Rfam family "Bacterial small subunit ribosomal RNA", at positions 26 to 523 of the family's 1533-position model. The record is from RNAcentral.